This 594-nucleotide ribosomal RNA is filed under the name uncultured fungus. Its description in RNAcentral is "eukaryotic LSU rRNA". The stretch from base 187 to 343 matches the Rfam family "5.8S ribosomal RNA". The record is from RNAcentral. Lineage: Eukaryota; Fungi.
UCCGUAGGUGAACCUGCGGAAGGAUCAUUACUCUUUGCUCUUGGGACGCCCCUGGCUUAGGUCAGGCGCCCUGGCAAACACCCUUUGUCUAUACGUACUCAUUGUCUAUCCUUUGGCAGGCUUUGCCCUGCCACUGGCCCCAGAACCUGAAUUAUAGCAUUUUCCUGAGCCAUAUUAUAAUGUCACAACUUUCAACAAUGGAUCUCUUGGCUCUGGCAUCGAUGAAGAACGCAGCGAAAUGCGAUAAGUAGUGUGAAUUGCAGACUUUAGUGAAUCAUCAAAUCUUUGAACGCACAUUGCGCCUGUUGGAAUUCCACCAGCGGGCAUGCCUGUUUGAGCGUCAUAUCAUCCCAAGCAGCUGCUUGGUGUUGGGUGUUUGUCCUGCACCAAGUGUGGACUCGCCUUAAUAACAUUGGCAGUUAGCUUGCUAGCAUAGAGCGCAGCACUUGUGUCAUCUAAGGCCCAGCAGGCUGGCGACCCAUCAAGACCCCCUUGUUCGACCUCAAAUCAGGUAGGGAUACCCGCUGAACUUAAGCAUAUCAAUAAGCGGAGGGAAGUCGGACUGGCCAAGGGGCACACCAGGGGGGGGGGAUA